AUUCGAAGCAUGUUGUUUAAUUCGAUAACCCACGAUAAAUCUUACCACUUCUUGUAUAUUACAUGUAUGUCAAAGUAUAUGUAUUACAGGUGUUGCAUGGCUGUCUUUAGUUCGUGUUGUGAAAUGUUAGGUUAAUUCCGAGAACGAACGCAACCCUUAUCUUUAAUUGAUAAUUAACUUAAAGAAGUAUCUUUCCAUAAGAAGGAAUAAUUAGGAUGAAGACAAGUCCUCAUGACCCUUAUGAAGUGGGCUACAGACGUGCCACAAUGAUUUCCCCAAUAGGAAGCAAAGACGUUAAGUCAGAGCUAAUCCCAGAAAAGAAAUAUAAGUACGG
This 334-nucleotide ribosomal RNA is filed under the name Pneumocystis sp. G28. RNAcentral describes it as "SSU rRNA". It matches the Rfam family "Bacterial small subunit ribosomal RNA", at positions 933 to 1296 of the family's 1533-position model. Lineage: Eukaryota; Fungi; Ascomycota; Pneumocystomycetes; Pneumocystales; Pneumocystaceae. The record is from RNAcentral.